This 484-nucleotide ribosomal RNA is filed under the name uncultured bacterium. RNAcentral describes it as "partial 16S ribosomal RNA". It matches the Rfam family "Bacterial small subunit ribosomal RNA", at positions 30 to 507 of the family's 1533-position model. The record is from RNAcentral.
AUUGAACGCUGGCGGCAGGCCUAACACAUGCAAGUCGAGCGGAUGAAGGGAGCUUGCUCCUGGAUUCAGCGGCGGACGGGUGAGUAAUGCCUAGGAAUCUGCCUGGUAGUGGGGGAUAACGUCCGGAAACGGGCGCUAAUACCGCAUACGUCCUGAGGGAGAAAGUGGGGGAUCUUCGGACCUCACGCUAUCAGAUGAGCCUAGGUCGGAUUAGCUAGUUGGUGGGGUAAAGGCCUACCAAGGCGACGAUCCGUAACUGGUCUGAGAGGAUGAUCAGUCACACUGGAACUGAGACACGGUCCAGACUCCUACGGGAGGCAGCAGUGGGGAAUAUUGGACAAUGGGCGAAAGCCUGAUCCAGCCAUGCCGCGUGUGUGAAGAAGGUCUUCGGAUUGUAAAGCACUUUAAGUUGGCAGGAAGGGCAGUAAGUUAAUACCUUGCCGUUUUGACGUUACCAACAGAAUAAGCACCGGCUAACUUCGUG